UACGGGGGGGGCAAGCGUUGUUCGGAAUUACUGGGCGUAAAGGGCGCGUAGGCGGCCUUCUAAGUCGGACGUGAAAUCCCUCGGCUUAACCGAGGAACUGCGUCCGAGACUGAAAGGCUUGAAUCCGGGAGAGGGAUGUGGAGUUCCAGGUGUAGCGGUGAAAUGCGUAGAUAUCGGAAGGAACAUCAGUGGCGAAAGCGACUUCCUGGACCAAUACUGACGCUCAUGUGCGAAAGCGUGGGGAGCAAACAGG
RNAcentral lists this ribosomal RNA (253 nucleotides) under uncultured bacterium. RNAcentral's name for it is "partial 16S ribosomal RNA". It matches the Rfam family "Bacterial small subunit ribosomal RNA", at positions 524 to 776 of the family's 1533-position model. The record is from RNAcentral.